Molecule: small nuclear RNA, 106 nt
Filed under: Nippostrongylus brasiliensis
Lineage: Eukaryota; Metazoa; Nematoda; Chromadorea; Rhabditida; Heligmosomidae
Source: RNAcentral
GAACUUUAAUUCCUGUACAUGUACUAAAAUUGGAACAAUACAGAGACGAUUAGCAUGGCCCUUGCGCAAGGAUGACACGCAAAUUCGUGAAUCGUUCCAAAAUACU